RNAcentral lists this microRNA precursor (57 nucleotides) under Tribolium castaneum (red flour beetle). RNAcentral describes it as "Tca-Mir-3824_pre stem-loop". Lineage: Eukaryota; Metazoa; Arthropoda; Insecta; Coleoptera; Tenebrionidae. The record is from RNAcentral.
UGUAAAAUUGGUUCGACUAUUUGUGAACUAAAUAAAUGGUUGAGUCAGUUUUGCACC